AUAACGACUCUCGGCAACGGAUAUCUCGGCUCUUGCAUCGAUGAAGAACGUAGCGAAAUGCGAUACUUGGUGUGAAUUGCAGAAUCCCGUGAACCAUCGAGUCUUUGAACGCAAGUUGCGCCCGAAGCCCUUAGGCCGAGGGCACGCCUGCCUGGGUGUCACCA
RNAcentral lists this ribosomal RNA (164 nucleotides) under Stylosanthes hamata (Caribbean stylo). Its description in RNAcentral is "5.8S ribosomal RNA". It matches the Rfam family "5.8S ribosomal RNA". Rfam says of the family: 5.8S ribosomal RNA (5.8S rRNA) is a component of the large subunit of the eukaryotic ribosome. It is transcribed by RNA polymerase I as part of the 45S precursor that also contains 18S and 28S rRNA. Functionally, it is thought that 5.8S rRNA may be involved in ribosome translocation. Lineage: Eukaryota; Viridiplantae; Streptophyta; Magnoliopsida; Fabales; Fabaceae. The record is from RNAcentral.